Bolinopsis microptera is the source of this 365-nucleotide long non-coding RNA. RefSeq lists it as uncharacterized. The transcript has 3 exons. Lineage: Eukaryota; Metazoa; Ctenophora; Tentaculata; Lobata; Bolinopsidae. The record is from RefSeq and is a predicted model, not a curated record.
AUUCUCACGGCCGUCUGCCUUUAGCCUUUUCCCGAACGCCUCUCCUAUGAUUGGUUUUCCCUACACGGCCCGGGUGUUAGUAUGCUGCGCUCUCUCCCAUGUCACUAGUUUCAUAAAUAGAUUUUCCUAACGUCAUGCCAGAUAAUAGCAAUUGGUUCCCGUCGCUUCUGUUGAAUUCCUAAUAGGCUAGGAAGUUUGUUCCUCGAGGUAAUAUUGUGGUGAGCCUAUCCUACCUGGUUGCUUGUCCUAACCUUAGCAGCACCUACAUUAUUACCUCGUAAGUCAUUUGAGCAUUUAUUGAUAAGUUCUUACAUAUUUAGUAUUCUACAGUUCAUUCUAAUUUAACUUUAUCUUGUUUAAUUUUA